Molecule: long non-coding RNA, 1387 nt
Filed under: Marmota monax (woodchuck)
Lineage: Eukaryota; Metazoa; Chordata; Mammalia; Rodentia; Sciuridae
Source: RNAcentral
GAGCUGGAAUUCACUUGCCUUUAAAACAUGAAACUUUUUUUUUGGUGGUGGUGGGGGUGCUGCUGGGGAUUUCACCUAGGGCCUUACAAGUGCUAGGUAAGCACUACUCUAGCACUGAAUGCUACAGCCCUAAAACAUGAUUUGUAUGAGACACUGCACCCCAAACCCAAGUAACACCAGAGGAAGAAGGGGGAGCUACUAACUCCGUUGUGAUAUUUUCCUGCUUGGCAAAUGUUUAUUGAACAUUUUCUGAGACUUAAGAUUUUGUUGGCUGCCCCUCCUUGUUCAUUGCAUGUAGUUUUCAGCUCACUGUUUUCACUGAAAAGCCAAGUGGAAAUGAUCUCAUGAGGUGUGGAUUGCAGGGGCCUCAUCUACCCUAACCCUGUUUUUCCUUGAUCCUUUGUGCUGUGCCCACCCCUGGGAAGGAAGCUUUAACAGGUGGCAAUAACAUGCUCACACAGGUGGUCUGGGCCCCCAAGCUUCUCUUACCUGAUGGUGCUUCCCAUCUAGCACUGGGUGGAUAUAAUCAAGACUUGGGAAGCAAGGAGGGUGUAUUUGUGAAAGGAGAGCUGAUCCAAUGUUGCUUCCUUUUCAACUUUUUAAAAAAAUAUAAAAUGAGCUAGGCAAGUCUGUAACCUCAGUUAUCCUGGAGGCAGAGACUGGAGGAUCACACGUUCAAGGCCAGCUGGGGCAACUUAAGCCAGACCCUGUCUCAAUAAAAAAUAAGGCUGGGUAUGUAGCUUGGUGGUAGAGCACCUAGGUUUAGUCUUUGUACCACAAAAGGAUAAAAUAUAAAAUGGUGGGUGAAUGUAAAAAAAGUUCAGAUAAUACAAGUUCAUAUUAAAGUAACGUGGGAAACCCCUCCUCACCUGCCAUUGUACACUAAUAACUCUGCCUGUCUUUGUGAGGGUCACCUAUAAUUCUUGCCAUGGAAAGUCUUUUCCUAAAACUUCUGAGCAUGGUUCUUCCCUGCUUAAGCCAUUCUACUUUCCAACAAAGUACAGUCUUGGCCUUUGAACUGCUCACUCUCAGCCUGUCAAGGUGUUGGAUGUUAAAAUCUUCAAAUCAGUGAAUGAUGGCUGUGGCAAGUUCCACAAUGAAAGCUGUAGGAUGUAGGAGAGGUGUCCUAGGAACUUGACAUAGUUUGGAGGCCAGGCAGGCAUCCCCAAGGAUUACAAAGAUGGACCUCAAACUAGUGCACAUCAAUGAGAGCCCUGUGCUUCCUAUGUGGAGUUUUUCAUCUAAUGUAUCCUAAAUGGUUUUUCCAUGGGGCAAUGAGUUCUGCGUACGCUCCAUUCUGGGAGGAGGUAUGCUAUCAAAACAUUCAUGCACAAUUUCAACCAUAUAAAAGAUAAUAAAAUGAACCCUCAUUAAUUGUUAUCAGGAA